Molecule: long non-coding RNA, 621 nt
Filed under: Gallus gallus (chicken)
Lineage: Eukaryota; Metazoa; Chordata; Aves; Galliformes; Phasianidae
Description: lncRNA (ENSGALG00010006000.1)
Source: RNAcentral
AAGGCUGGGAGGGGAUGAUUGAGAGCAUUUGGGAACUUGGGGAACUCCUUUUGCAGGGCAGCAUUAUCUGUGAGUUCCCCCAUAACAGGAAGGGACUGCCAUGGUGUUGGAGAAGGAAGGAUUUCCUCAUGGUAACAUUACUGAUAGCACGUGGAUGCCUGGAGGAUGAGGGAUUGCCGUGGGGUUGGAGUGAAUGCAGUGCCUGAUGCAAGGAGGCUUCAUCCAAAUGAAUAACAGUCCUGGCCCCCUGCAGCAAACACCCACCCCAAAUCCAUUUUCCCUUAAUCCACAGGCAGCAGCACGUUCCCAGCCAGCAGGUGCAAGCCACCGACUACGGAGAAGUCCAGUACUCAACCGUUGCCCACUUUCGAAGGGACAAGCCUCCCGUGAAGCAGAUGACCCGCAGCAGAGAUGCAUAGGCUUCAGCAUGCCAAGGCAACCAGGACUGCGUCACGGCCAUUGUGUUUUCUUGCAGAGGGCUCUUGGGGCAGAACAUGGGGCUUUUGGGUUCAUGGGGUAUGCUCUCCCAUUAUUUCUAGCCACAGAGAUAUAUGACUUGCUUAUGUAUGGACCACCUAGCAUAUCAAUAAAAUAUCACAGCUAUUUUAGAGACAUCGGCAA